GAACAAGUCGGGUGCGUUAGGUCCUAUAAUAAGAGCGCUCGAAUCCACUCAGGGUCGCGCGUACUGGAUCAUGGAACCCGGGGGAGUGAGUUGAAAAAGCGAACAACCUGGAGUUCCCGGUGGUACCGCUAAAAAUUCAGAGAAGAUCCACAAGCAACCCCAAGGGGCGCAUCUCGCCUUUCUACUCUGUAACUGCCGCUGAGCGCGAGAGCUGGGGAGCUACAGGCUUAGAUACCCCGGUAGUCACGCAUAAAACGAUGAGUGCUAAGUGUUAGGGGGUUCCGCCCCUUAGUGCUGCAGCUAACGCAUUAAGCACUCCGCCUGGGGAGUACGGCCGCAAGGCUGAAACUCAAAGGAAUUGACGGGGGCCCGCACAAGCGGUGGAGCAUGUGGUUUAAUUCGAAGCAACGCGAAGAACCUUACCAGGUCUUGACAUCCCGCUGACCGCCUAGGAGACUAGGCUUUCCCUUCGGGGACAGCGGUGACAGGUGGUGCAUGGUUGUCGUCAGCUCGUGUCGUGAGAUGUUGGGUUAAGUCCCGCAACGAGCGCAACCCUUGAUCUUAGUUGCCAGCAUUCAGUUGGGCACUCUAAGGUGACUGCCGGUGACAAACCGGAGGAAGGUGGGGAUGACGUCAAAUCAUCAUGCCCCUUAUGACCUGGGCUACACACGUGCUACAAUGGACGGUACAAAGGGCAGCCAACCCGCGAGGGGGAGCCAAUCCCAGAAAACCGUUCUCAGUUCGGAUUGCAGGCUGCAACUCGCCUGCAUGAAGCCGGAAUCGCUAGUAAUCGUGGAUCAGCAUGCCACGGUGAAUACGUUCCCGGGCCUUGUUCUCGCCGCCCGUC
RNAcentral lists this ribosomal RNA (847 nucleotides) under uncultured bacterium. Its description in RNAcentral is "bacterial SSU rRNA". It matches the Rfam family "Bacterial small subunit ribosomal RNA", at positions 569 to 1398 of the family's 1533-position model. The record is from RNAcentral.